RNAcentral lists this non-coding RNA (26 nucleotides) under Homo sapiens (human). The record is from RNAcentral. Lineage: Eukaryota; Metazoa; Chordata; Mammalia; Primates; Hominidae.
UCUGACAAAGCAAAAGGAAGAUGAAG